Molecule: small nucleolar RNA, 107 nt
Organism: Dendrobium catenatum
Lineage: Eukaryota; Viridiplantae; Streptophyta; Magnoliopsida; Asparagales; Orchidaceae
Source: RefSeq, a predicted model, not a curated record
AAGACAUGAUGAGGGCAUUUCCUAAUAAUUUCAUUAAAUCUCUUCCAACCUUCAUAAAUCAAUUCUCUUUCAAACUAAGUAAAAUAAGUGAUAUUAUUUCUAGAUUU